GUGGCGAACGGGUGCGUAACACGUGAGCAACCUGCCGUGAAGUGGGGGAUAGCUCGCCGAAAGGCGAAUUAAUACCGCAUAUGGCCAAGGAAGACAUCUUCCUGACGCCAAAGCCGGGGUAACCUGGCGCUUCUCGAGGGGCUCGCGGCCUAUCAGCUUGUUGGUGAGGUAACGGCUCACCAAGGCUAUGACGGGUAGCUGGUCUGAGAGGACGACCAGCCACACUGGAACUGAGACACGGUCCAGACACC
This 251-nucleotide ribosomal RNA is filed under the name uncultured bacterium. Its description in RNAcentral is "partial 16S ribosomal RNA". It matches the Rfam family "Bacterial small subunit ribosomal RNA", at positions 95 to 339 of the family's 1533-position model. The record is from RNAcentral.